RNAcentral lists this ribosomal RNA (765 nucleotides) under uncultured bacterium. RNAcentral describes it as "bacterial SSU rRNA". It matches the Rfam family "Bacterial small subunit ribosomal RNA", at positions 547 to 1313 of the family's 1533-position model. The record is from RNAcentral.
GNAUUUAUUGGGCGUAAAGCGAGCGCAGGCGGUUAGAUAAGUCUGAAGUUAAAGGCUGUGGCUUAACCAUAGUACGCUUUGGAAACUGUUUAACUUGAGUGCAGAAGGGGAGAGUGGAAUUCCAUGUGUAGCGGUGAAAUGCGUAGAUAUAUGGAGGAACACCGGUGGCGAAAGCGGCUCUCUGGUCUGUAACUGACGCUGAGGCUCGAAAGCGUGGGGAACAAACAGGAUUAGAUACCCUGGUAGUCCACGCCGUAAACGACGAGUGCUAGGUGUUGGGUCCUUUCCGGGACUCAGUGCCGCAGCUAACGCAUUAAGCACUCCGCCUGGGGAGUACGACCGCAAGGUUGAAACUCAAAGGAAUUGACGGGGGCCCGCACAAGCGGUGGAGCAUGUGGUUUAAUUCGAAGCAACGCGAAGAACCUUACCAGGUCUUGACAUCCCGGUGCCCGUCCUAGAGAUAGGAUUUUGCUUCGGCACACCGGUGACAGGUGGUGCAUGGUUGUCGUCAGCUCGUGUCGUGAGAUGUUGGGUUAAGUCCCGCAACGAGCGCAACCCUUAUUGUUAGUUGCCAUCAUUAAGUUGGGCACUCUAGCGAGACUGCCGGUAAUAAACCGGAGGAAGGUGGGGAUGACGUCAAAUCAUCAUGCCCUUUAUGACCUGGGCUACACACGUGCUACAAUGGCUGGUACAACGAGUCGCAAGUCGGUGACGGCAAGCUAAUCUCUUAAAGCCAGUCUCAGUUCGGAUUGUAGGCUGCAACUC